RNAcentral lists this non-coding RNA (102 nucleotides) under Desulfosporosinus meridiei. RNAcentral's name for it is "Guanine sequence". It matches the Rfam family "Purine riboswitch aptamer". Rfam says of the family: Riboswitches are metabolite binding domains within certain messenger RNAs that serve as precision sensors for their corresponding targets. RNAcentral also lists the same sequence under 1 other name. The record is from RNAcentral. Lineage: Bacteria; Bacillati; Bacillota; Clostridia; Eubacteriales; Desulfitobacteriaceae.
GAUAACAAGUGAAUUAUAGUUCAUAUAAUAGCAGAGAUAAGGUCUGCAAGUUUCUACCGGACUGCCGUAAAUCGUCCGACUAUGAGCGAAGUGUCGAGGUAU